GUGGUUGCAAGGUUUUCAAUCACCACUAUAUCUGUUCUUCUUGCAGCAUCUCUGAGAAGCCGAGGAGUGCCAUUAUCCUAAAUCAUUUGUCUGAGAUCAGAGGAGGUGAGUGGCAGACCAGGGCUUGAAGCCAUGCCAGCGCUCUAAUCUCUGCCAUGUCCCUGCCUUCUGUUUAAUGUCUUUGUGAGUCGUUAGAAAAGCCUUCAGAGCACUGCCUUGCUGGGGAGGAUCUUUUUGUUGUCUAAUGUGCAAAUAUUCAGCACCAAGACACCUGCUUCUGCUCAGUGCCACAAAACCUAAAGUGUUCUGCUUGUAAAUGUGUGGAGAUGGAAAGCAGUGAAGUCAACUGACUGUAAACACCUGUUCAAUGAGCGGAUGAAUCUGGAAAAAGGUAGAAGAUCGUGCUAAAAUGUAAUGUCUACAGGAAAGAGGAAGCUCUGCAUACAGCCAUGAGCAAAGCACAUUGAUGUUGACAUGUCCUGGUGUUUCUUACUCAGUUUGCGUCUGAGAGCAGUGGAAGGAAGACUCAGUGCGUGAUGCUGGAGUAUUAUGCAUCAUUUUACAGGCAAAGAUCAAACAUCUUUGUGUUUGCAAGGUUGGUUAGUCAGCUUCUGUGCAGAAACAGGAAAAGUGCUGACAAACUCAACAGAAGAAGUUCUGUCUUGUGAUGAAACAGCCCAUGUUCUAAUGACUGGUGACAGCAUGGAGAACUAA
RNAcentral lists this long non-coding RNA (714 nucleotides) under Numida meleagris (helmeted guineafowl). Its description in RNAcentral is "lncRNA (ENSNMEG00000018853.1)". The record is from RNAcentral. Lineage: Eukaryota; Metazoa; Chordata; Aves; Galliformes; Numididae.